GAUGAACGCUGGCGGCGUGCUUAACACAUGCAAGUCGAACGGGAAAUAUUUCAUUGAGACUUCGGUGGAUUUGAUUUAUUUCUAGUGGCGGACGGGUGAGUAACGCGUGGGUAACCUGCCUUAUACAGGGGGAUAACAGUCAGAAAUGGCUGCUAAUAACGCAUAAGCGCACAGAGCGGCAUGGCUCAGUGUGAAAAACUCCGGUGGUAUAAGAUGGACCCGCGUUGGAUUAGCUAGUUGGGGGGGUAACGGCCCCCCAAGGCGACGAUCCAUACCCUGCCUGUGAGGGUGAACCGCCACACUGGCACUGAGACGCGGCCCAGACUCCUACGCGAUGCAGCAGUGGGUAAUAUUGCACUAUGGGGGAAACCCUGAUGCAGCUACGCCGCGUGAAGGAAGAAGUAUCUAGGUAUGUAAACUUCUAUCAGCAGGGAAGGUAGUGACGGUACCUGACUAAGAAGCCCCGGCUAACUACGUG
RNAcentral lists this ribosomal RNA (478 nucleotides) under uncultured bacterium. RNAcentral's name for it is "partial 16S ribosomal RNA". It matches the Rfam family "Bacterial small subunit ribosomal RNA", at positions 28 to 507 of the family's 1533-position model. The record is from RNAcentral.